GUGGGGAAUAUUGGACAAUGGGCGAAAGCCUGAUCCAGCCAUGCCGCGUGUGUGAAGAAGGUCUUCAGAUUGUAAAGCACUUUAAGUUGGGAGGAAGGGCAUUAACCUAAUACGUUAGUGUUUUGACGUUACCGACAGAAUAAGCACCGGCUAACUUCGUGCCAGCAGCCGCGGUAAUACGAAGGGUGCAAGCGUUAAUCGGAAUUACUGGGCGUAAAGCGCGCGGAGGUGGGUCGUUAAGUUGGAUGUGAAAGCCCCGGGCUCAACCUGGGAACUGCAUCCAAAACUGGCGAGCUAGAGUACGGUAGAGGGUGGUGGAAUUUCCUGUGUAGCGGUGAAAUGCGUAGAUAUAGGAAGGAACACCAGUGGCGAAGGCGACUACCUGGACUGAUACUGACACUGAGGUGCGAAAGCGUGGGGAGCAAACAGGAUUAGAAACCCUUGUAGUCC
This 450-nucleotide ribosomal RNA is filed under the name uncultured bacterium. RNAcentral's name for it is "partial 16S ribosomal RNA". It matches the Rfam family "Bacterial small subunit ribosomal RNA", at positions 354 to 796 of the family's 1533-position model. The record is from RNAcentral.